This 1202-nucleotide long non-coding RNA is filed under the name Gouania willdenowi (blunt-snouted clingfish). RNAcentral describes it as "lncRNA (ENSGWIG00000024403.1)". Lineage: Eukaryota; Metazoa; Chordata; Actinopteri; Blenniiformes; Gobiesocidae. The record is from RNAcentral.
AGGGAAUAUAAUUACUUUAGAAUGCUUUGAGAAUAGCAAAAAAAAAAAAAAAGUGACGUGCUUUCAGUUUUAAUUAGUUACAGAAUAAUCUGAAUUUAAUGAAAAAUAAUGUAAAGUAGAAAUUUAUGUAUAUAAAUAUUAAGGUAACGUAUGUCAACUUUGUCCAUGCGCAAAAUUACAUUACAGACCUUAUUAUCAUUAAUAUUUUUGUAAUAUCCAAACAAUUGUAAAUGUUUACAUCUAACUUAUCUUUGAACAUUCAGAAAAAUAAUACUUUAGAACGAUUUAUAGUAAGCAAUGUGAAGUAUAUAGUUUAUUGGUGUUUUUACUCAGGCACAAAAGGGAGAAUAGUGUUUUAAUUUUAGAAAAUACAGUGUAAUACAUUUAGGUGAAGUUAUACAUUUCCAAAUACUGGUGCAUAAUGUUAUUCUUUACGAUUUUUAUUAUAGAUUAAGGAAAGGAUACUCACAAUGUUUAUGUAUCCGACACUCCUUGAAUGCAUCACGGUGCAGCAGGUGCCACAGGUUUGGCUGAUGGGGUCACGUGAUGUGUGGUAUAAAAAGCACGGCUGAGUCACUUUACCUCAUCACACGGUGCAGCCACUACUACAAACAACAUGAUGAAGACGAGCUCCGUGUACCUUGGAUUUUUCCUGCUGGUUCUCAUCAUGGUACCACAGGCUCGGGGCAACACUACAGCUGUCCCUACGGGGACCACAACACCUGCCUCCAACAGCUCCUCUGUGACCGCCGCCACCACGGGGAACGGCUCCGGUAUGACGGACCCCUCUGUUCUGCUGCUCCCCCUGGCUCUGGCUGCGGUUCUCCUUCACGGGUGGUCCUCAUGACGGUCCUUAUCCUGGACCGAUGGACGCGAUAUGUCUGGGCUGUGGUCACAACUGACGUAUUCUGAACUUAAAUUGUCUGCGGAAAUGCGCACUGCUCCAUCCAACUUUACGCACCAACUUCCCGGACACGCUCGGCUCCUUUUUUCUCGUGUCAGUCUUUGAUGGACCAUGAAAAAUCCCCCGUCCUGCUGAAAGCUCCUCUGUGACGGAGGGGGAUGUUUGUGUUUUGUUUUUUCACACCAGCUCUGACUGUAAAAACGCUCAAAAUUUUGUACUGAAGUGUAUUUGUGCUUUUAGCCUUGCUUUUGUAGCCCAUUUCAAUAAAGCUUUGGAUUAUGCAUAAUCUGUUGUUAAA